Molecule: unclassified non-coding RNA, 1759 nt
Filed under: Portunus trituberculatus (swimming crab)
Lineage: Eukaryota; Metazoa; Arthropoda; Malacostraca; Decapoda; Portunidae
Description: sugar transporter SWEET1-like, transcript variant X7
Source: RNAcentral
GUUACAUAUACUGCACUGUGCUAUACGUAUUAUACAGAUCGGCAUGGAGCAGUGAUUCUAGAGAAGAACCAUUUGUUCAAGCCAAUGAUCCUAUGAUGAUUGUUAAUGUAUAGUUAAGAAAUAAGGUGGAAUGCCAGUCACGUACCUUGAAAACAGAAGUCAUUUUCCCCACACAGACCUCAAGAUGGUGCUACAGGACUACAAAGAUAUCAUUGCUACAAUUGCCACCAUUGUCACUAUCAUUCAGUUCCUCAGUGGCAUUGAUAUUUGCCGCAAGAUUAUCAAGCAGGGAUCCACUGGGGACAUUUCUGGCUUCCCCUUUGUUGGGGGAGUUUUCUCAACUAGCACCUGGCUCACCUACAGCCUUCUGUUAUGGGAUGCCUCCAUGUCUAUCACCAAUGCUGUGGGACUCACCCUACAGGUAAUCUACCUUUCUACUUACGUGAGGUACUGCAUUGCCUCAGGGCCUUGGCGAACAGUGCGCAAACAGAUGUUGAUAACAACACUGGUGGUGGCUGCCAUUCAGUACUAUGUCUUCCUUUCAGAUGAUGAAAAUGAGACCAUCAAGACACACAUUGGUCUGAUGUGUUGUCUGGGGAGCAUCAUCUUCUGUGCCUCACCACUCGUCUCUCUGGCUGAAGUAUUCCGCACACAAAGCACUGACAUGCUGCCCUUCCCCCUCAUCUUUGCCACAUUCCUGGUCUCUGGCCUGUGGUGCCUGUAUGGAAUCAUCAUCCAAAACAGCUUUGUCAAGUAUCCUAACUUGAUUGGUUUUGGUCUCUCUGGCUUCCAGCUGUUUCUCUUCAUUGUGUACCCCAGCAAGAGAAAAGUUUCAGGUGUAACUGGAUACCCAGAAAUCAGAUAAGAUAGUGCAUUUUCUCCAUUGAUGAUGAAAUUUGCGAAUAUGGUCGACAAAAACAUUGUCUAUUGAAUAGUGCAGAAGAAAAUGUAAGAGGAAUCUUAACAUCAGUGAAAUAGACAAUGUGACAGGCGAGUCAAGGGGCGUGUAGGUGAGCAGGAUGCAUGCAGCUGUCUGGACCCACCUUCCUUCCCACAGAUAUUUAUUCCAAUAUAUAUAUUUUGUAUUAGAGUUGUAUAUUUUGUAUUUAAAUCUGAAAUGACAUGUUGAAGUUUUUAAGUAACUUGCAAGUGUGUACAUUAGUGUGUGUUAUGAUGAAGUGAGUGUGUUAUCUAUAAGAGUAGAAUGUUCUCUUCAGUAAUGUGAUGAUAUUUAACCUCAUUUUCUAUAGUUGUGAAAAUAUUUUAUGACAUGACUACAUGAAAAUGAGCAACCAAAUUUGUUCUCUUCAAGGAAGAUUUUAGAAAUAGAAAUAUAUAGGUUACUCUGUAAAAAAUUAUUUUAUACAUGAAGUACGUAUUUUGAUAUUGAUGAUUUUUCAGUUCACAUGACAUUUACUAGGUAACAGAAUGAUCAUACACUUAAUGUAUUGUUUUAAUUUGCUGAUUGUCAAUGUAUGAAAGCAUGAAAUCAUGUUAUCAUUUGCUCAAACUUUUCAUAAAACUGAGACCCAGAAAUAUUUUUUCUACUUUAAUGUUGGCAUUGGACAUGCUGACUUAUAGUUAUGAGAAAGGGAUUAGUCACCACUGAGUGGUGAUGUUGGAAGCCAAUGGUCAGUCCUGACAAAAUGAACCAUUGCAAUUUAUCACCAAACAGGAAUUAGCCUACAUGUAGGUAUUCAGGUAUUGCUCUGUGCCUUAUUCUGUGUCAAGUAAGUUAUGGUGGUUUAAGUAUGUUGGU